AUUGAACGCUGGCGGCAUGCUUUACACAUGCAAGUCGAACGGCAGCGCGGGCUUCUUCCUGGCUGCGAUUUGCGAACGGUUGUGUAAUUCAUCUGAACUCGCCCAUUAUUGUGGUAUAGCCCGUCUAAAGCCGUAUUAAUACCGCAUUCGACCUGUUGUUUAAAGCGGUGGUCCUAAAUUCCUCUCGCUCUUUUAUCUUCCGAUUUCGGAUUUUCUAGUUGGUUGGGUAAAGGCUUACCAAGGCGACGAUCCGUAGCUGGUAUGAGAGGAAGACCAGCGAAACUGGGAGUGAGACACGGAACAGACACCUACGGGAGGCAGCAGUGGGGAAUGUUGGACAAGGGGGGAAAACAUGAUACAGCAAUGCCGCGUGAGGGAAGAAGGCCUUCGGGUUGUAAACCGAUUUUGUUCGGGAAGAAAAACUGUGGGAUAAUAACCCGGGGGGAUGACGGUACCGGAAGAAUAAGCACCGGCUAACUACGUG
Molecule: ribosomal RNA, 484 nt
Filed under: uncultured bacterium
Lineage: Bacteria
Description: partial 16S ribosomal RNA
Rfam family: Bacterial small subunit ribosomal RNA
Source: RNAcentral